RNAcentral lists this long non-coding RNA (6100 nucleotides) under Triticum aestivum (bread wheat). RNAcentral describes it as "long non-coding RNA (TAES_LNC027901)". Lineage: Eukaryota; Viridiplantae; Streptophyta; Magnoliopsida; Poales; Poaceae. The record is from RNAcentral.
UUUUUGGAGGGUUUCCUCGUAGAUGAGGUUUAAUCCACUGCCGCCAUCCAUGAGUACCUUGGUGAGACGAAAGCCGUCCACUAUCGAACUGAGGACCAAUGCGGCUGGUGCUCGGGUUGUUCGGAAUUUAGGUUCGUCGCCGGCAUUGAAGGUGAUAGCCGUGUCACUCCAAGGAUUUGCUGUUGCUACUUGGUAGACUUCGGCGAGGUUGCGGAUUGUUCGUUUCCGCAUAUUAUUUGAUGCGAAAGUCUCGAAUACUGUUAAUACCGUACUGGUAUUGUUGGGCUGGUUACCCGGGGCUAGAAAACCUUCGCCACCUUUGGCCACCUGCCGUAGUAUCCAACAUGCUCGAAGGCUAUGUGUUGGAGUGGCGCCCUCUGUAUUAUGGAUUUUACAGGGUCCGUUGAGCCAUCCCUCCAGUGCGGUUCCGUGCCCUUUAGGGGGUUUUUGCUUUUUGGUUUUUAACCCAGGUGCUUGAGUAUGACGCACCCUUUUAUUUCGAACUAGGGUUGUGUUCAGGGCCGGAUUGUCCCAAAACCUGGUUUCGGUUUUCCAGGCACUCUCCAUCGCACAGUAUUUUUGUACUAUGGUCGCCAGGUCGGCGAAGCGUGUAACUUCACGACGACUUAUGGCAUUCAUGAUUCCCUUGUCCGUGCAAUUGUUGCAGAAAAUUGAGAUUGCGCUUUCCUCACGGCAGUCCUUUAUCAUGUCCAUAACCAAGAGGAAUCUGGCCCAGUAAUGAUGUACUGUUUCAUCGGGCUCUUGCCGUAUUCGAGAUAGAUCGCUUAUGUUUGGGUGGGCGGGCGGAAUUAAAUUCGGAACCCUGCCCAAUCUGAGGCUCAAAGGCCGAGAGGUUUCCGGAUUUGGAAGCUUGGAUUGUUGGAUGUUAUCCAACGGAUCUGGUCCGAUGCCUGACUUUAGGUUCGGUACUUGAUUGACGUUCGUCCCUUCGCGGGAAUCCGGCAUGGAGGGAUCGAGAAUCCGGACAUAACUAGUUUUUAACAUAGAAGAAGAGUCGACGCGUUGUUCCUCUACCACAACAACGUGGUGGGUAGCCUGGGGAGAGUUAAUUUCUCUCAGAUCGGUUUUAAGCCCAAUCUGAUCGUGGUCUGUAGCGACUCCCAGGGCGGCGAUGCGAUCCAAGAGCUCAUUUACAAAGGAGAGCUCCGUCGGAUCUAGCUGCUCGGCGAAUUCUGAGUUGACGUGAAGAUCGCUUUAGAUGACCUGAGAGGUCAUUGUUGGAGCGGUGGCCGAACUGGCGGUCAUAAGAAAAUCGCCCAGCCGGAUAGUUUGGCCGGUGGCCAAAGCUCCCUUGAUGACGGCGCCGUCUUUAAAGACGGGAAAAGGCAUCCCUCCUGAUUGCGGUGUCAAAACCGGCGGAUCUCGGGUAGGGGGUCCCGAACUGUGCGUCUAGGCAGAUGGUAACAGGAGACAAGGGACACAAUGUUUUACCCAGGUUCGGGCCCUCUUGAUGGAGGUAAAACCCUACGUCCUGCUUGAUUGAUAUUGAUGAUGUGGGUAUUACAAGAGUAGAUCUACCACGAGAUCAAGGAGGCUAAACCCUAGAAGCUAGCCUAUGGUAUGAUUGUUGUUCGUCCUACGGACUAAAGCCAUCCAGUUUAUAUAGACACCGGAGAGGGCUAGGGUUACACAGAGUCGGUUACAAUGGUAGGAGAUCUACAUAUCCGUAUCGCCAAGCUUGCCAUCCACGCCAAGGAAAGUCACAUCCGGACACGGAACGAAGUCUUCAAUCUUGUAUCUUCAUAGUCUUGGAGUCCGGCCAACGAUGAUAGUUCGGCUGUCCGGACACCCCCUAGUCCGGGACUCCCUCACCGGGCGUAGCCACACUCAGUUCAACUAAAGUGAGAGAGACAGACACCCGCCGAUCACCUUUAAGCAACUAGUGCUCGUGGCGGUGAAACCAGUCUCGCGUAAGCGUACGCGUAAUGUCGGUCCGGGCCGCUUCAUCUCACAAUGCCGCUGAACCAAAAUAUGACAUGCUGGUAAGCAGUAUGACUUAUAUCGCCCACAACUCACUUGUGUUCUACUCAUGCAUAUGACAUCUACGCAUAAAACCUGGCUCGGAUACCACUGUUGGGGAACAUAGUAAUUUCAAAAAAAUUCCUACGCACACGCAAGAUCAUGGUGAUGCAUAGCAAUGAGAGGGGAGAGUGAUGUCUACGUACCCUCGUAGACCGUAAGCAGAAGCAUUACCACAACGCGGUUGAUGUAGUCGUACGUCUUCACGAUCCGACCGAUCAAGUACCGUACGUACGGCACCUCCGAGUUCAGCACACGUUCAGCCCGAUGAUGUCCCUCGAACUCCGAUCCAGCCGAGUGUUGAGGGAGAGUUUCGUCAGCACGACAGCGUGGUGACGAUGUUGAUGUUCUACCGACGCAGGGCUUCGCCUAAGCACCGCUAUAGUAUUAUCGAGGUGGACUAUGGUGGAGGGGGGCACCGCACACGGCUAAGAGAUCAAUGAUCAAUUGUUGUGUCUCUGGGGUGCCCCCCGCCCCCGUAUAUAAAGGAGCAAGGGGGGUGCGGCUGGCCAGGAGGAGUCCUACUCCCACCGGGAGUAGGACUCCCCCCCCCCCUUUUCCAUGUUGGACUAGGACUUGGGGGGGAAGGAGAGAGGGAGGGGAAAGGAAAGGGGGGCGCCCUCCUCCCUGUCCAAUUCGGACUUGGGGGGGGAGGGGCGCGUGGCUGCCCCUUGGCCUCCUCUCCUCUUCCUCCACUAGGCCCAUUAAGGCCCAUUAAGUUACCGGGGGGUUCCGGUAACCUCCCGGUACUCCGGUAAAAGGCCGAUUUCACCCGGAACACUUCUGAUGUCCAAACAUAGGCUUCCAAUAUAUCAAUCUUCAUGUCUCGACCAUUUUGAGACUCCUCGUCAUGUCCGUGAUCACAUCCGGGACUCCGAACAACCUUUGGUACAUCAAAACACAUAAACUCAUAAUAUAAUUGUCAUCGUAACGUUAAGCGUGCGGACCCUACGGGUUCGAGAACUAUGUAGACAUGACCGAGACACGUCUCCGGUCAAUAACCAAUAGCGGAACCUAGGUGCUCAUAUUGGCUCCCACAUAUUCUACGAAGAUCUUUAUCGGUCAGACCGCAUAACAACAUACGUUGUUCCCUUUGUCAUCGGUAUGUUACUUGCCCGAGAUUCGAUCGUCGGUAUCUCAAUACCUAGUUCAAUCUCGUUACCGGCAAGUCUCUUUACUCGUUUCGUAAUACAUCAUCCCGCAACUAACUCAUUAGUUGCAAUGCUUGCAAGGCUUAAGUGAUGUGUAUUACCGAGAGGGCCCAGAGAUACCUCUUCGACAAUCAUAGUGACAAAUCCUAAUCUCGAAAUACGCCAACCCAACAUGUACCUUUGGAGACACCUGUAGAGCACCUUUAUAAUCACCCAGUUACGUUGUGACGUUUGGUAGCACACAAAGUGUUCCUCCGGUAAACGGAAGUUGCAUAAUCUCAUAGUCAUAGGAACACGUAUAAGUCAUGAAGAAAGCAACAACAACAUACUAAACGAUCAAGUGCUAAGCUAACGAAAUGGGUCAAGUCAAUCACAUCAUUCUCCUAAUGAUAUGAUCCCGUUAAUCAAAUGACAACUCUUUGUCCAUGGCUAGGAAACAUAACCAUCUUUGAUUAAUGAGCUAGUCAAGUAGAGGCAUACUAGUGACACUCUGUUUGUCUAUGUAUUCACACAUGUAUUAUGUUUCCGAUUAAUACAAUUCUAGCAUGAAUAAUAAACAUUUAUCAUGAUAUAAGGAAAUAAAUAAUAACUUUAUUAUUGCCUCUAGGGCAUAUUUCCUUCAGUCUCCCACUUGCACUAGAGUCAAUAAUCUAGUUCACAUCACCAUGUGAUUNNNNNNNNNNNNNNNNNNNNNNNNNNNNNNNNNNNNNNNNNNNNNNNNNNNNNNNNNNNNNNNNNNNNNNNNNNNNNNNNNNNNNNNNNNNNNNNNNNNNNNNNNNNNNNNNNNNNNNNNNNNNNNNNNNNNNNNNNNNNNNNNNNNNNNNNNNNNNNNNNNNNNNNNNNNNNNNNNNNNNNNNNNNNNNNNNNNNNNNNNNNNNNNNNNNNNNNNNNNNNNNNNNNNNNNNNNNNNNNNNNNCACUCAAUGUUGAGCCUGGACGGCUAUUGCGUCUUGAAGUGGCUCCACAUCGCCGCCUGGGUUGGAUCCGAUGACUCCGCCUCCUGGAUAGCCCAGAAGAUCAUAUCCAGAUUCAGGUAGCCCUCGUGCCCGACAAACCGCACCCGUUGCUCGUAUAUCAAGUAGCGGAUGUUGUAAGGCAGACAUCCAUCCACGCCGCUGGGUCGGGGAACUUGCCCCUCACCACGCACUCCAUCUCCGCCCACGCCUCCGACAACGCCGCAUCGAUCACCAGCGGUGGAGGUGGUAGAUCUGGAACCCGAGCUGGGCCCGCUGCCAUUGAUGCUGGGGGGGGGGGCACCCUCAUGAGACGAAUCCCGUGGCCAGACCUCCCUGCCAUCACCUCCAAAUCUCCGUACGCCGAAGUUCUUUUCCAACCGGGCUCUCGGCCCUUUUCAUUAAGGACUUGACGGAAUAUUCGGUACAGGUCUCCUGACAACAAUCGGCAACAAUUAAAAGCAGAGAAGGGGGCGGGAAAGGGGAUAGGCGAGCUGGGGCUGCAGAGGUGCGAUGUCCAAACAUGUGCCGUGGGGCAAAAACCUGUUAGCACCAACAACCAAUACGCCGAAGUUCUUAUUGUUUCCCGCAAGAGAUUACACCUGAGAGCGUCUUGCAUAUAACCCUGUUCCGCAAAAUUGUUGCAAAACGAACCUGCAUAAAAUUGUAUCGUCACUUGGUUGGCUCUCCUCUCCUCCCCAGAGGGACAAGAUUGGAAUCUAGUGUCAGCCACGCCACCCACGCCACAAAAUUAGAGCAGCCCAUCACCGUGCAGAUUUCGCGUCCCGGCCGGAUGACUUCCAUUUUUAUCUUCUCCGCUGUACAAGGGGAUGGGUGCUGGUGGAAUGUCUGUCCUGUCCUCUUCCCUCCCUCCCUCACUCUCACCCGAAGAGGGGAGGAACAUGGCCGGCAGGCGGCACCACCGCUGGGUUGGGUCAGAUAAAUGAAUAGAUCCAAUCUGGCUCGCAUUUUUCUCUCGCCGCGGCAACAUGGCCCUGCUGCUGCUGCCGGUCUCUCCCUUCACCGUUGAGAUCCCUGCACCUGAGACGGGAUGGGUAGGUAGGAUAGACUAUGCCGUUUCUGCGCUUCAGUUGAGCGAGUUGCUAGUUUCCAAUGUAGGCCAUGUGGGAACAGCGCGAUACCAAUUCUGUCCCGGCGUGCACGCAUGUGCUCGAUCUGCAUGCAUGACACGACUCCCUGCUGAGCAUAUGCGCCCAAAUCACCUGGGGAAAACGAUGGAUGCCAUGAUGGGGUUUGUGGAGAGCUGCUAAACUGUCGUUUUUCAGGGCCUUUUUGGUUUUCACAAGAACGUAGAAGAAGAAAUAGAAUAAUAAGAUUAUUUUCUUCCAUGACACUAGUCGUUCAUUUCGAUUCAAAAGAAUGAGAUUUUACAAUCAACUCAAAUCCCCAUUUGCAUUCCUAUGCACAAACAAGGCAAACUGACAUUGCUGAAAUAGCAACAACAACCUAAUCUGACCAUGUUCGUUUAGGAUUCCAUGUCUGACUUCAUAAUCCUCUGGUUAGUCCUACAGCUCGAGAAACCAGUACUGAGACUUACAUUAAACUAUGACUGGAUAAUGCCACGUUUCCGGCUGCUAUGUAUAUCCUCUAACCUUAAAAACAUAAUAAGGAAGCUAGGCUUGUUCAAUCAGGGAGGGAAAGAAAUGGCCUGAGGAAUUAAGAUGAUACUUCCUUGCACUGUACAAGGAGAUCACUGACAUACAUGCCCAUGAUUCCGGCGUCCUGUACAGAUUCAUGUAUCCUGUAUAAACUCGAGGGCGCAGGUACACACCAAAAAAAGCACUCCCUCCUAAUUUCAACUUGACAUUCUGGCUGAUCUGGGGUAUCCUAAGGCUAAUGGGAAAGAACAAAAGGGGGGCCAUGGCCUCCACAGGAAGGAAUGUUACCAAAAAACAUGUGCAGAGUCUACAGAGGUGAGCAUGUACACAAAAUGGCA